This is a long non-coding RNA of Grus americana (Whooping crane), 473 nucleotides long. RefSeq lists it as uncharacterized. The transcript has 3 exons. Lineage: Eukaryota; Metazoa; Chordata; Aves; Gruiformes; Gruidae. The record is from RefSeq and is a predicted model, not a curated record.
CACUCACACAAGAGGAGCAUCCCGGGGUGUGCGCGGCACCGCUGUCCCUAAAGCCUUGUCUGUCUCCAGCUCUUUUCAAGCCACCGGAAUAGUAACCGGGAGUCAUCAUGGGCACCUGCUGAAGGUGUUGAUAAAAGCAAUCAGAAGAAGAGAACUCCUUUCACAGCGAAAGACCGGUAUUUGCCUGCUGAAAAGCCUUCAGCCAUUAGAGCACAGAAGACAGCUAAGAAGAGGUUCUUGCAAAUACUGAAGAUGACUUACAGUUUUUCACUUGGAGGCAAAACUUAGUUUCCACUGAAGCAAGGAUACAAAGCAGUAUAGCUGCAUCCUCUUAAUUAACCAAUUCAGUGCUGAAGGAAUCAUUAUCAAAUCAUCGGCAAUCUGCAGCAGGCACACCAGGAUAUUUGUUUUAAAGAUUUCUGUUGCUCAUUCUACAGCCAGUAUUAUCAUCAUUAGAGAAGAGACUAUUCCUG